Molecule: ribosomal RNA, 253 nt
Filed under: uncultured bacterium
Lineage: Bacteria
Description: partial 16S ribosomal RNA
Rfam family: Bacterial small subunit ribosomal RNA
Source: RNAcentral
UACGUAGGGUGCGAGCGUUAAUCGGAAUUACUGGGCGUAAAGCGCGCGCAGGCGGCUAUCCAAGUCAGUGGUGAAAGCCCGGAGCUCAACUCCAGAACUGCCUUCGAUACUGGCGAUCUCGAGUUCGGGAGAGGUGAGUGGAACUGCGAGUGUAGAGGUGAAAUUCGUAGAUAUUCGCAAGAACACCAGUGGCGAAGGCGGCUCACUGGCCCGGUACUGACGCUGAGGCACGAAAGCGUGGGGAGCAAACAGG